Molecule: ribosomal RNA, 500 nt
Filed under: uncultured bacterium
Lineage: Bacteria
Description: partial 16S ribosomal RNA
Rfam family: Bacterial small subunit ribosomal RNA
Source: RNAcentral
AUUGAACGCUGGCGGAAUGCUUUACACAUGCAAGUCGAACGGCAGCACGGACUUCGGUCUGGUGGCGAGUGGCGAACGGGUGAGUAAUGUAUCGGAACGUGCCCAGUCGUGGGGGAUAACGUAGUGAAAAUUACGCUAAUACCGCAUACGAUCUAUGGAUGAAAGCGGGGGAUCGCAAGACCUCGCGCGAUUGGAGCGGCCGAUAGCAGAUUAGGUAGUUGGUGGGGUAAAGGCCCACCAAGCCAACGAUCUGUAGCUGGUCUGAGAGGACGACCAGCCACACUGGAAAUGAGACACGGUCCAGACUCCUACGGGAGGCAGCAGUGGGGAAGUUUGGACAAUGGGCGAAAGCCUGAUCCAGCCAUUCCGCGUGCAGGAUGAAGGCCCUCGGGUUGUAAACUGCUUUUGUACAGAACGAAAAGGUUUCUACUAAUACUAGGAGCUCAUGACGGUACUGUAAGAAUAAGCACCGGCUAACUACGUGCCAGCCGCCGCAGUAA